RNAcentral lists this long non-coding RNA (325 nucleotides) under Phoenix dactylifera (date palm). RNAcentral describes it as "long non-coding RNA (PDAC_LNC017636)". Lineage: Eukaryota; Viridiplantae; Streptophyta; Magnoliopsida; Arecales; Arecaceae. The record is from RNAcentral.
AGGAGGAUGUGUCACUAUCAUCCCAAGUUGCUUUCAACGCCUUCUUCUUCUUCUUUCCAUAGUGCUUCUUCUAUUGAGGGCAUUCAGAACGGAUGUGUCCCGGUCUCUUGCAAUCAUAACAUAUGAUUGGGUCUCUUUCUUUUUCUUUUUUCUUUUCCCAAUCAUUUCUCCCUCCAAACUUCUUUCUUGGAAAGUGUUUCUUUCUUCUCAUGAAUUUCUUGAACUUCCUUACUAUUAAGCCCAAGUCCUCAUCUUCACUUUCUUCUUCACUCUCACUGCUUUCUUCUUCACAAACACUUGAAGUAGCCUUGAGUGCGAUUGUCUU